GUGGAAGCAACUGAAACUAGAAUA
This 24-nucleotide non-coding RNA is filed under the name Arabidopsis thaliana (thale cress). Lineage: Eukaryota; Viridiplantae; Streptophyta; Magnoliopsida; Brassicales; Brassicaceae. The record is from RNAcentral.